UGUCACGUAGGUUCAGUGGGCGGAAGAGGUGGCCCCGGAUGCUGCGGCGCCCGCUGGCCGGGCUGGCAGCGGCCGCCCUGGGCCGGGCCCCGCCGGACGGCUUGCUCUGCUCUUUACCUGGGGUUGCUGUCGAGGACCCUGUGCAAGACUCGGCCGGUUUUUCUUUCUCCCUGAUGGACAGACCCAAACAUAGCCGCGCAGCAUCGUGAAGGGCUGGGGCCUUCACGCGUCUGUGGCUGUGGAAGGGCCUGGUUUCCUCAGGAGUCCUUAGGAUGGCUGAAAGCCAGAAGGAGGAGAUUAUGCCGCCAGAGCAGGGAGUGCCUUUCCAGGAAAGCGGCUGCUGGAGCAGCAUGGGAGCCCAGCCCAGGGAGCGUUCUGGCAGAGACCAUUCCGGAACAUGGAUCUGCGCCGGCGGCUCCCAGGAGACCUUCCAUCUCGGAGCUCCUGUGGAGACCACGUGCCUGGCAGGCAUGUCGGGCCCCAGGCCUGUGGUGCUGAGCGGGCCUUCGGGAGCUGGGAAGAGCACCCUGCUGAAGAGGCUGUUCCAGGAGCACAGCGGCAUCUUUGGCUUCAGCGUGUCCCAUACCACAAGGAACCCGAGGCCCGGCGAGGAGAACGGCAAAGAUUACUACUUUGUAACCAGGGAGGUGAUGCAGCGUGACAUAGCAGCCGGCGACUUCAUCGAGCAUGCCGAGUUCUCGGGGAACCUGUAUGGCACGAGGUGGGCCACGUGUG
Molecule: small RNA, 735 nt
Filed under: Pongo abelii (Sumatran orangutan)
Lineage: Eukaryota; Metazoa; Chordata; Mammalia; Primates; Hominidae
Description: processed transcript
Source: RNAcentral